Anguilla anguilla (European eel) is the source of this 1591-nucleotide long non-coding RNA. RefSeq lists it as uncharacterized. NCBI's taxonomy places the organism in Eukaryota, Metazoa, Chordata, Actinopteri, Anguilliformes, Anguillidae. The transcript is spliced from 3 exons. The record is from RefSeq and is a predicted model, not a curated record.
GCGAACAUUGUUCUCACUAUGGCCUCCUGUACCCACCCCAUCUAGCUUGACAGAUUUCCGUAUCGCAUCAGUGUGUUUGGAAACAGACCAGAUGUCAGCGGUGGAAAAAACCCAAGGGGCUGCUGGGAGGGACAGACGGGAUUCUGCUGUAACUACACGUUCCCAGGCCCCAGCUGCGCAGAGGACAGUCUGCUGCAACUCCCAGCUGCGCAGAGGACAGUCCGCUGUAACUAUAACAUGUUUACAGGCCCCAGCUGCGAAGAGGAAGGCUUUAAACCCGCCAUUUUAAUUAGACUAUUUUUAUUAUGAACUACAAUUAAAUCCAAAAUAUGAUUUAAAAAAAUAAGCUGUCACAACUUUAAGAUUGUAGGAGGUUUCUGUGAUUGGUCCCAAUGUGUGCUGUACAGUCAGUUUCUGUCUCACCAUGCUGACAUGCUCUCAGGUGUUCUCAUGGUUAUUCACUCUUUGCAUUCAUGAGCUCUGGUUUGUUGUCUCAUGCCAAAACUUCUACUAUUUGAAUUUGUCUGUGCUCUGAAGAUGUGACUCUUAGACACAGCCAGGCUGUGCUCUGAAGAUGUGACUCAUACAACCAGGCUGUGCUCUGAAGAUGUGACUCUUAGACACAGCCAAGCUGUGCUCUGAAGAUGUGACUCUUAGACACAGCCAGGCUGUGCUCUGAAGAUGUGACUCUUAGACACAGCCAGGCUGUGCUCUGAAGAUGUGACUCUUAGACACAGCCAGGCUGUGCUCUGAAGACGUGACUCUUGGUCACAGCCAAAAUACACAACCUGUUUAGUGGACCCACAAAAUUCAAGCCAUCAGAGAAAUAAAAAAGAAAUAAACACCUUUUCUUUUGCACAAAAAAUUCUAAAUCUUAAAUUCAUCAGAAUAGCUACCAUUUACAAUACUAACUGCUGAGCAUAUUCCCUCUGCUUCUCUGCCUAUAGACAUCAUCAGUACACAAUCUCUGUUUUCCUAUCCUGCAGACCAUUUCAAGUCAAAUUUUGGAUAAUAAUGAAUAAUGAAUUUCUGUUAUGGUGCAUUUUCAAAUCUUGACCAAACGUGUCCUCAGAAGUCUCAGAGAGUUGUCAAGCAGUUUUGUGUUUGCUCAAAAUUAUGAUGCAUUGUCACUGUAAAUAAUUAUAGUUCUUUGCGAUAGAAGACAACAUUUACAAGAGACAAAAAUGAAACCAGUAGUUUCCUUAAUCAGCACAGUGCUCUCUCUUAUGUGAUGGCUUUAUCGGUUGUGUCUGGCCAUCGGGUAUUCAGUGUAAUGCAGUAUAAUGCAGAUGAUGAUGAUGUUGAUGAUAAUGGAGAACAAGUUUCUGAUGUUAAUGUAACUAAUGUUAUAACAGUCAUAUUUUGCUUUUAUUACACUGAGUGUGUGCAUGUGCAGUGUGCACGUGUAGGUAGCAGUGUGUGCUGUAGGGAGAUGGGAGAGUAAACUUUUCCAUAGUUUAACUCCUUCCUAUUCCAUGGUGGAACGCCAGAGUCAGAAUGGAUCCCUGUGGAUCUGCCUGCACUCUGAGGGGUGAGAAGUGAAAGACUGUCCCCCUGGGUGGGGGGUGCAGGUGGGGGUGAAAGGUGCCCC